This 467-nucleotide ribosomal RNA is filed under the name uncultured bacterium. RNAcentral's name for it is "partial 16S ribosomal RNA". It matches the Rfam family "Bacterial small subunit ribosomal RNA", at positions 28 to 506 of the family's 1533-position model. The record is from RNAcentral.
GACGAACGCUGCCGGCGUGCUUAACACAGGCAAGUCGAACGGAAAGGCCCGGCUUUUGUUUGGUUCUCGAGUGGCGAACGAGUGAGUAACACUAGAGUGACCUGCCCUGGACUUUGGGAUAACUUCAGCAAACUGGGGCUAAUACCGGAUAGGAGUUCCGGCUGCGUGGGGGGGGGUGGAAAGUUUGGGCGGUUGGGGUUGGACUCGCGGCUUAUCAGCUUGUUGGGGUGGUGGUGUCUUACCAAGGCUUUGACGGGUAGCCGGACUGGGAGGGUGACCCGCCACAUUGGCCCUGGGGUGCGGCCCGGACGCAAACGGGGGGAAGCAGUGGAGCAUAUUGCAAGCUGGGCGGAAGCCUGAUGGAGGACCGUCGCGUGCGAAAUGACGGCCUUCGGGUUGUAAACCGCUUUCGCCUGUGACGACGCGUGAGUGACGGUACUGGGUAAAGAAGCACCGGCUACCUACGU